RNAcentral lists this ribosomal RNA (253 nucleotides) under uncultured bacterium. RNAcentral's name for it is "partial 16S ribosomal RNA". It matches the Rfam family "Bacterial small subunit ribosomal RNA", at positions 524 to 776 of the family's 1533-position model. The record is from RNAcentral.
UACGUAGGGUGCGAGCGUUGUCCGGAAUUAUUGGGCGUAAAGAGCUCGUAGGCGGUUUGUUGCGUCGGCCGUGAAAACCUGCAGCUUAACUGUGGGCCUGCGGCCGAUACGGGCAGACUUGAGUUCGGUAGGGGAGACUGGAAUUCCUGGUGUAGCGGUGAAAUGCGCAGAUAUCAGGAGGAACACCGAUGGCGAAGGCAGUGAUCUGGGCCAGUACUGACGCUGAGGAGCGAAAGCGUGGGGAGCAAACAGG